AGGCCAGCGCCUGAAUUUCGGAUCACAAACUUGGUGGAUGAGUGGCAGUACAAGGCCUGGCUCACCUUCACGGAUUCCACUGGGCGCCAAUGCGUUGGUCAGUACUGCCACCCGGAUUCACCGCGGCCCGGUUCCUGGUUCAACGGCCGCGUGCUGUCGUUUUCGAAGGUCAAGCUCUUCUCCAACAAGAAAAAGAUCCCGAACCCGCCUCCGAUCACUCUGAGGUGUUACCGCACUUACCACAUCCAAGUGAAUGUUGGGAUUGUGGACGAUAACGGAUACAUCGUCAGCGCAUCGGUCGUCCGGCAAUCUGUUGGUGCCGACUUCAUUGCCGUCACCAGUAGCAUUACUAGGCGUCCAGUCAACAGCGGUACAAGACAGGCGCGCUGACUGAAGUUCUCAAGGCUGUUUAUGUAAUAACAGUAAUAAAUAAAUAUUUAUUUGUGAGUACAAACAGUCCCUUUUUUUUUUUCCUUGUUUAAUGACAUUUUACAGUACAACCAAGACAAAGAAUGCAAUGGUGGUGUGCCUACUGAGGUAUAGAAAAAUACACCAGCUGCACACAUGGCGAUGCUGCAUGUAGGUUGUCACCCUGAAAAGAAAGAAAACAAAGCGGAAGCGCUCACCGCAGAUAAAUAAGAACACCCUAGUACCCUUGCAUACCUCAGAAAAAGUCCAUUACGCACAGAA
Non-coding RNA from Dermacentor andersoni, 690 nucleotides. Lineage: Eukaryota; Metazoa; Arthropoda; Arachnida; Ixodida; Ixodidae. The record is from RefSeq and is a predicted model, not a curated record.